UAGACCGGGACGGGUCCAGACAAGGAGGAUUGGAUGCGGUUCUGGAGAUGCGACAGCGCUGAUACCGUGUUACAGUUCCAGUUCUGAAGACAUACCAACACAUGCAACAUAGCAGCGGGAGGAGGCAUACUGCUCGAGGAGGCUGCAGUCCGUGCUGUCCGCACCGCCGUUUCUUGGACUGGGCGCUCGCACCGUCAUCACCGACUCUCCCGUCCCGCUGCUCAAGAAACCGUCCUCCUGCACCGCCAGCUCUUCGCCCGUAGUCUGGAAGCCCGAGUCCGGGAAGGAGACGUCCAUGGCCGCUUGGUUUGUGGUGCUGCAAGCCGCAGGGGGCGGCGGCGCCGCCUGGCACGGACCACCGGGGAUGGGAGGGAGAUCCCGCAGCUGUUCCUCUACAGACUGCUUCCACUGCAGCAUGGACUGCGCCUGGAAGAGAAACCUAACAGCAUCCUCCUGUACCAGCCGUUGUAACCUCUCCUCCUCGCACUGCCUCUGCACCCUGCAAAUCAAAAUACGCACCACUUGAGUGGAAAUUAUGUUUGGUCCAAGUGGGGACAAAAUAAAACUACAUGAAUCUCAAAUUUUGGACACAGUCCAUCUGUAUUUUUCUCUGUCUGGGCGACAGAAUUUAGAGCCUGCUCCUUUGACCAUGCCUACUCUGUUGCUAUUGGUCAGUUGCCAAAGAAGACAUUGAGGGAGGUCUUUAGCUCUCUAGAAACAAAUAAAUCUUUCCAUCGCUGCCCACUUCAAUAAAUA
Molecule: long non-coding RNA, 756 nt
Organism: Nerophis lumbriciformis (worm pipefish)
Lineage: Eukaryota; Metazoa; Chordata; Actinopteri; Syngnathiformes; Syngnathidae
Source: RefSeq, a predicted model, not a curated record